GAUGAACGCUGGCGGCGUGCCUAAUACAUGCAAGUCGAGCGAACGGACGAGAAGCUUGCUUCUCUGAUGUUAGCGGCGGACGGGUGAGUAACACGUGGAUAACCUACCUAUAAGACUGGGAUAACUUCGGGAAACCGUAGCUAAUACCGGAUAAUAUUUUGAACCGCAUGGUUCAAAAGUGAAAGACGGUCUUGCUGUCACUUAUAGAUGGAUCCGCGCUGCAUUAGCUAGUUGGUAAGGUAACGGCUUACCAAGGCAACGAUGCAUAGCCGACCUGAGAGGGGGACCGGCCACACUGGAACUGAGACACGGGCCAGACUCCUACGGGAGGCAGCAGUAGGGAAUCUUCCGCAAUGGGCGAAAGCCUGACGGAGCAACGCCGCGUGAGUGAUGAAGGUCUUCGGAUCGGAAAACUCUGUUAUUAGGGAAGAACAUAUGUGUAAGUAAGUGUGCACAUCUUGACGGUACCUAAUCAGAAAGCAACGGCUAACUACGUG
Molecule: ribosomal RNA, 497 nt
Filed under: uncultured bacterium
Lineage: Bacteria
Description: partial 16S ribosomal RNA
Rfam family: Bacterial small subunit ribosomal RNA
Source: RNAcentral